Molecule: ribosomal RNA, 492 nt
Filed under: uncultured bacterium
Lineage: Bacteria
Description: partial 16S ribosomal RNA
Rfam family: Bacterial small subunit ribosomal RNA
Source: RNAcentral
AGUGAACGCUGGCGGUAGGCCUAACACAUGCAAGUCGAACGGCAGCACAGUAAGAGCUUGCUCUUACGGGUGGCGAGUGGCGGACGGGUGAGGAAUACAUCGGAAUCUACUUUUUCGUGGGGGAUAACGAAGGGAAACUUACGCUAAUACCGCAUACGACCUCCGGGUGAAAGCAGGGGAUCUUCGGACCUUGCGCGAUUGAAUGAGCCGAUGUCGGAUUAGCUAGUUGGCGGGGUAAAGGCCCACCAAGGCGACGAUCCGUAGCUGGUCUGAGAGGAUGAUCAGCCACACUGGAACUGAGACACGGUCCAGACUCCUACGGGAGGCAGCAGUGGGGAAUAUUGGACAAUGGGCGCAAGCCUGAUCCAGCCAUACCGCGUGGGUGAAGAAGGCCUUCGGGUUGUAAAGCCCUUUUGUUGGGAAAGAAAAGCAGCAGGUUAAUACCCCGCUGUUCUGACGGUACCCAAAGAAUAAGCACCGGCUAACUUCGUG